This 5168-nucleotide long non-coding RNA is filed under the name Homo sapiens (human). RNAcentral describes it as "HSALNT0342167". The record is from RNAcentral. Lineage: Eukaryota; Metazoa; Chordata; Mammalia; Primates; Hominidae.
AUAAAAACCUUAAAUUGUCCCCAAUGUCUGCUUCAAAUUGGAUGGCACUGCAGCUGGAGGCUUUGUUCAGAAUUGAUCCUGGGGAGCUACGAACCCAAAGUUUCACAGUAGGAAGGGGGAAAAAAGAAAAGAAAACAUUUUUCCUAAUGUAACAAUGCGAAUGCUAGAAAAUGACAAGACUGAUCGGUUUUAAACCAUUCUGAAGACUGACUGAGCGUGGAAGUUGCUCAACAAAAAAAGGAACGGGUAUAUUGACAGAGUCUUGCUCUAUUGCCCAGGCUGCAACUGGUGUGAUCUCGGCUCACUACAACCUCUGCCUCCUGGGUUCAAGCGAUUCUCCUGCCUCAAGCUCCCAAGUAGCUGGGAUUACAAGCAUGCACCACCAUGCCUGGCUAAUUUUUGUAUUUUUAGUGGAGACGGGGUUUCGCCACAUUGGCCAGGGUGGUCUUGAACUCCUGACCUCAAGUGAUCCACCUGCCUUGGCCUCCCAAAGUGCUGGGAUUAUAAGCAUGAGCCACUGCACCCAGCCUUAUACUGAACUUUCAAUGGGUUCAAUUCCACUAGGAGCAUAAAGGCCACUGCAUAUGAGUUGUGGAAAGAAGAGAUUAGAAGAAGGAAGAACUUGAGAUGAGUUCCUCCCUUCAACAUUCUGUCUCCUCCUACCUAGCAUCUUCUUUCUUUUAGUCUUUCUAGAAUGUCCAUCUGUUUUUGGCCAUUGCGGAGAGAGAAGCUGAGCUUUAAAGGAGUAGGAGCUUCAAAGGCGUAGGAGCUUCAAAAUUCUUGUUUCUUCAUGUUUGAUCACCCUUCUAAACCUGUCUUCUGUUCCUUCUGCUAUUCUUUUUUCUUAGAGCAUAGGAAAGGGGAGCUUUUAAAUUAAUACUUAAAGCAUGGAAAAAAAGAACUUGAGAAGAAAGUAAAACAAGGGAGAUGAGGCUAGUAAAGUAAGGAAAAUGAAGAGGAAGAGGAGGAAGGGUUAGCUUCUAAAUUCCAAGUCAAAUUGAUAUGGAACAGGCAAGCCGCUUGUCUUACUUAAACUUCAGAAAAGGAUCUGCUGAAACUUGAUAGAAAUGGAAAGGGAAAUCCUUGGGGUGGGGAACCUCCAAACAUUAGUAAUGAUAUUGAACAACUCAAAGUAUUGAGGAAAUCUGCAGGCUACAUGCCUGAAGAUUACCCAUGCAGAUAGACCAAAAGGAUUAGAAUUAUCUGUUGAUAUUAGUAAUAUUUAUUGACAUCUAGCUAGUAUUGGUAAUUUUAAGUUUUAGAUUAAUUUCUUUGGUAAUAGCUAUGAUAUAUUUUAUAGACAAGAAUUAUAUCUAUAGGCUUGCUAUCAUAGGCUCUUUUAAUCAGCAUUAAUUUAGUCUACUGAUUUUUAGCACAUUUGAAUCAUUCACUUAUGCUAGGUAACUCAUUGCAAAAUAAAAAGAUGAUUCCUGUAUGUAUGGCAGCUAUACAUUAAGGAGGAGUCUACCAGAAUAUGAAAAAGUCAGCUGACCUAAAUAUUGCUGAGACAAAGGAAAACCCACUCCCUUGGAGGAGCAUGACCUUUUCCUGUAAUUCUUCCCACUGCUGUUGUUGAGCUCCUUGGAUCCUGGCUCCUGGACACCAUCAUCAAGAAGACUUUAUGGAUGGGCUGUCCACCCACUGAGAGAAGAGGAGCAUCAGCUACAGUUUCUCUCUAGAUUGCCUUCUUCAUUUUGAGUAAUGACUGUCAGCAGGGUCAGAUUAAACACAAAACAACUGGACAAUUGCUUGGAGGACUAAACUAUAAGGGCACUAACAUGUCAAUAGUAGGCUAACACAUCCAUGGAAAAUAUAUUUACCAGCUCUUCUCUCAGGGAGGAUUCUGUGUGGGGUUGGAAGUAAUGAUUUGUUAAAUUCCUUAGGGGUAGAAAGUAGGGCAUAAUCAGAAUAUAGAGGAAUAUGCUGUUUGACUUCAGGGUUUCUGUUUUUCUUACUAGGAUAUAUAAAACAGGGACUCUAGCUAGAUUGUUUAUGACCACAGAGGGUAGGCUGAGUGCUCCCAUGAUCUUCCUGCUUGGUUCUUGCCCAUACAGAGGUCAGCCUUUCCUCUAAUAAAGAUUGAACAAGUAGUGGUCUGAGGGAGACACCAAUUCAUUACCCUACAUGUCUCUUCUCUGCACUCCAGGGCUUUGAUAAUAAAGACACUGGCAGACUAUCUAUCUUCCAUUUCUAUAAUGUGAGCCCUUAGGGAGUCUUCGUUCACUUGGGGGUGAGGGUCAUUGCUCACAGAGUAGUUCAAGUCAAAUGGAACUUGAACUCUUUGCCUAUGGGCCUGGUGGUCAGACUCUGUGUUGAGUUCAUUAGAUUAUUGGAGACACAAGGUAGAGCUGGAUGCUUCAAAAAUAUUUGGCUAAAGGAUGACAUUGCUGGUUAUUUGUAGAUAAAGCCAUGAUGGAACCUGCUUGGAAUCAUGAAAUAUGGAACUGGUGGUCAUGUUUAAAAAUACAACUAAUAGUUAAGUACCUACUGGACACUGUAGAGACUUAGGGGCUAGACAGACAUGGUUCCUGCCCCCUUGGAGCUUACACUGUAGCUUCCCCUUAGGUAUGAAGAACAGUGGCUACAACUAACAAAUGGCCACAAAGAUAUAAUUGAGCCAGUGUUCCAAUUAUUAGGGUAAUUCCUAUUUCCUUAAUCAUUCCUAUUGACCAUGUUCUAUAAGCCUGCAUUCUAUAAAUGGCGUAUGACCAUGGGCUGUUUCCCCCCAGCAAGUUGUACAAAGUUCUGUGGUACCAGGGAAAGGGCUUAAGGUUAGCAGGGCCUCUGCGGAAGGACAUAUGAAGUGACUUGGGUUAGGAAACAGGAAGGGAUAGGAUUCAAGAACAGCUAUUGCUUCUGUUCUAUAUAGGAAACUGCAGCGUGAAAAAUGCUGGGCUGGGAAUUUUGAGACCUGGGUUUUAGUUUGUGUUCUAAUACUAACAAGCUAUGUGACUGUGGGUAAGUCAUUUCACAUUCCAUUUGGAUGCCUCUUGAGUGACUCCAGGCCUCUCCAGCUCUAAAACAUUAAGAUCAGGCCCUACGCUACAGCUGGCCAGUGUGUAAUUCUUCUGUUUCUAUGCUGUUAGGUCAAAUAGAUCUUCAAUAGUUACUUGAUUGUUAUUACUUUUUUCUGAAGUGGGUGUUUUAUCAAUGUUUUAGGAUACAGUGAGUCUGCUUCUCCCCUUUGGAGUUAGGAAGGUUGUAGGAAUAUACACUGUAGAGCAUAUGGGAGCUUUAUCCCCUCCUUUUUUCCCCGCUACCUUUCUCCCUCUCCUUCCCUUCAUCACAUUUCUAUUGAGCAUAUGCCAUUGCCGUGUACCAGGUGUGUGCUAGGUUUGGAGAUACAAGGUAAACCUGAGACUUUCCCAGUCUCCAGGAGACAAAACCCUAAUUUCUUUCAUCUGCUGUCUUUCUCUUUGGAAAGAAUCAACGAUAUCCCAGGGGAAUGUGCCCAUGUCCCAGGGUAACCAACUACAGACAGAUGCCCCAUUCUACUCAAGCAACUUUUAGAGUGCCUUGAGAUACACAUCAGAUAAUUAUGCAGGGCCAGGCAUGGUGCUGCACACUUGUAAUCACAGCACUUUGGGAGGCCGAGGCAGCAGAUUGCUUGAGCCCAGGAAUUCAAGUGUAGCCUAGGGAACAUGGCAAAACCCCAGCUCUACAAAAAAAUACACAAAUUAGCUGCGUGUGGUGGCCUAUGACAGGAGGCUGAGAUGGGAGGAUUGCUUGAGCCUGUGAGGUCGAGGCUGCAGUGAGCCGAGAUCAUGCCAUUACUCCAGCCUGGGUGACAUAGGGAGACCCUGUCUUGAAAAAAAAAAAAAAAAGAUAAUUAUUCAGCCCUAGAGUCAUUGUGAAAAGAUCUAUCUUCAGAUAUAAGGAAGAAACAAUCUUUUAUUUCUUAGGAUAAAUCUGUAGAAGGACCUCCAGACAGUGAAGGCCACUGACUACUUUAUACUCUGUAAGCCAUCCCUCCCUGGUAGGAAGGACUAUUUCCAAUCUUACAGAGUACCUCUCAGCAAAUAGACGUUUUCACAUAUACUGUGAUUCAUACAUCCCUAUGGCUGGUGACCUCUUUAAAAAGGAAAGGAAAAAGCCUAAUCAAACAAAAAGAUGCUGCUAGUAAUUCUUACCCUAUUGUGAAUCCUAUAUAAGCAAAUUUGUAUCUUUGUUUUUUCCUACAUUAGCAGAUCUAUUUGAUGUAUAUCUCUGAGUGCAGAAAAUAUUUUAUGGAAAAAUCAAUAUAUGGAAUUUCAAAUUCAGAAUUGCUGAUACACACUAUUUGGUUUCACAAUUUUAUCCUAGGAAAUAGUAUUAGAGAUUUCAAUUUCUGGCUUAAAUGGUAGAAUUAAUUACUCUUAACUCUUAAUUUUACUUCUGAGUUGAGGUCAAGGAACAGGCAGACACCUGCAGUUAACGUCUAUACCUCUCCAUGGCCAAGAGUUUUAAUUUUCUCGUCUUCAAUUUUGUAGAUGUUCAUCAUUACUAAAUGGAUUGAUUAGUAUUUUAUCUCCUCUCCUUGUCCUUACUUUCCCUCUGGUAAAUAUGUUAUAAACAGUGUAAGGCUCCUAAGAUAGAGUAGCUGGUAGGACUUAGAAGAGAAACAAAGGGCACUGAUAACUCACAUAAAUGGAAAAUUGGCUCUGGAAUAACUGACAACAUAUUCAAGUAUUUUAGUGCAGUGUCACUCUCAUUAAGAAGAAGAGAAUCAGUAAAUCUAUGUGACUCUAAACAUUCUAAUGAAAAAAGGAAUAUUCUGCCAAUUAUCUCACAUUUCUAAAUAUCUGGAUAUUGGCCAUUGUAAAGACAAAACAUACAGAUGAUGGACUUGUCUUUCCACCUCUCAUUUGCAUGGUUUGGAGCAUUGUACCUCCAGCCAUAGACUCUAAGGCAAUUUAUAUUUGCUUCCUCUUCCCUCUUGAGAGAAAACGAAAAUCUUAUUUUUCCAAGCAAUUAAAACUCUUCUGCUUCAGCUAGGAUGAAAGAAUUAGGAGUUCUGUCUCCUUGUAUCUAAUUGCAUGUUUCAUCUUUCUUGUUUUAAUGAUUGACAGAAAACUAAUAAACUGAGACAUCUUUGAAUCCAGGUUGAAUGUACUCUCUUGGUGGCCCCAUUGCUAAUUUGUUUGACUAUUUUGCAGGAUUUCUUACUCUGUAAUGGAAAGGUUUAUUAA